RNAcentral lists this ribosomal RNA (253 nucleotides) under uncultured bacterium. RNAcentral describes it as "partial 16S ribosomal RNA". It matches the Rfam family "Bacterial small subunit ribosomal RNA", at positions 524 to 776 of the family's 1533-position model. The record is from RNAcentral.
UACGUAGGUGACAAGCGUUGUCCGGAUUUACUGGGCGUAAAGAGCGCGCAGGCGGUCGUUCAAGUCGAGUGUGAAAGCCCCCGGCUCAACUGGGGAGGGUCAUUCGAUACUGAUCGACUCGAAGGCAGGAGAGGGAAGUGGAAUUCCCGGUGUAGUGGUGAAAUGCGUAGAUAUCGGGAGGAACACCAGUGGCGAAGGCGGUUCUCUGGGCAUGAUCUGACGCUGAGGAGCGAAAGUGUGGGGAGCGAACAGG